This 81-nucleotide small nucleolar RNA is filed under the name Cynoglossus semilaevis (tongue sole). Its description in RNAcentral is "Small nucleolar RNA SNORD24 (ENSCSEG00000013258.1)". The record is from RNAcentral. Lineage: Eukaryota; Metazoa; Chordata; Actinopteri; Pleuronectiformes; Cynoglossidae.
UGCUACUGUGAUGACAUUAUUUGCUACUCUUGAAAAGUAGAUGAUGAAUUGCAUAACCACCUUAUUGCAUUAUCUGAGGCA